CUUUACACUGCACGGAAGUGCGAUAGGGGAAUCCCAAGUGCGAGGGCAUAUUAGCCCUCGCUUUUCUCGACUGUAAGGUGGUCGACGAAUAAGAGCUGGGCAAGACCGGUGCCAGCCGCCGCGGUAAUACCGGCANUCAAGUGAUGUCCCAUAUUAUUGGGCCUAAAGCGUCGUAGCUGGCGACAAGUCUACCGGGAAAUCCACCCGCCCAACGGGUGGGCGUCCGGUAGAAACUGGGCGGCUUGGAACCGGAAGGCUCAGAGAGUACGUCCGGGGUAGGAGUGAAAUCCCGUAAUCCCGGACGGACUACCGAUGGCGAAAGCACUCUGAGAAGACGGCUUCGACAGUGAGGGACGAAAGCUCGGGUCUCAAACCGGAUUAGAUACCCGGGUAGUCCGAGCUGUAAACGAUGCUCGUUAGGUGUGGCACCCACUACGAGUGGGUGCUGUGCCGUAGGGAAGCCGGUAAACGAGCCGCCUGGGAAGUA
This 487-nucleotide ribosomal RNA is filed under the name uncultured haloarchaeon. Its description in RNAcentral is "bacterial SSU rRNA". It matches the Rfam family "Archaeal small subunit ribosomal RNA", at positions 348 to 837 of the family's 1478-position model. Lineage: Archaea; Methanobacteriati; Methanobacteriota; Halobacteria; Halobacteriales; Halobacteriaceae. The record is from RNAcentral.